GACGAACGCUGGCGGCGUGCUUAACACAUGCAAGUCGAACGGAAAGGCCCUGCUUUUGUGGUGUGCUCGAGUGGCGAACGGGUGAGUAACACGUGAGUAACCUGCCUUUGACUUUGGGAUAACUUCAGUAAACUGGGGCUAAUACCGGAUAUGAGCUCCUGCUGCAUGGUGGGGGUUGGAAAGUUUCGGCGGUUGGGGAUGGACUCGCGGCUUAUCAGCUUGUUGGUGGGGUAGUGGCUUACCAAGGCUUUGACGGGUAGCCGGCCUGAUAGGGUGACCGGCGACAUUGGGACUGAGAUACGGCCCAGAAUCAUACGGGAGGCAGCAGUGGGGAAUAUUGCACAAUGGGAGGAAGCCUGAUGCAGCAACGCCGCGUGCGGGAUGACGGCCUUCGGGUUGUAAACCGCUUUCGCCUGUGACGAAGCGUGAGUGACGGUAGUGGGUAAAGAAGCACCGGCUAACUACGUG
RNAcentral lists this ribosomal RNA (468 nucleotides) under uncultured bacterium. RNAcentral describes it as "partial 16S ribosomal RNA". It matches the Rfam family "Bacterial small subunit ribosomal RNA", at positions 28 to 507 of the family's 1533-position model. The record is from RNAcentral.